This 109-nucleotide ribosomal RNA is filed under the name Alkalihalobacterium chitinilyticum. RNAcentral describes it as "partial 16S ribosomal RNA". It matches the Rfam family "Bacterial small subunit ribosomal RNA", at positions 1 to 104 of the family's 1533-position model. Lineage: Bacteria; Bacillati; Bacillota; Bacilli; Caryophanales; Bacillaceae. The record is from RNAcentral.
UUUAUGGAGAGUUUGAUCCUGGCUCAGGACGAACGCUGGCGGCGUGCCUAAUACAUGCAAGUCGAGCGGACCUCAUAAGAGCUUGCUCUUAUGAGGUUAGCGGCGGACG